RNAcentral lists this non-coding RNA (74 nucleotides) under Cryobacterium luteum. RNAcentral describes it as "GEMM cis-regulatory element". It matches the Rfam family "c-di-GMP-I riboswitch aptamer". Rfam says of the family: GEMM was predicted in a large-scale screen for bacterial structured RNA regulatory elements. Genes associated with GEMM are involved in a diverse array of functions, including chemotaxis regulation, signal transduction, secretion and chitin. The record is from RNAcentral. Lineage: Bacteria; Bacillati; Actinomycetota; Actinomycetes; Micrococcales; Microbacteriaceae.
AUUAGCAAAAGGCACACUCGUCGUAAGGCGGGGUCGCAAAGGCACGGGACCUUCGGGUUAGCCGGCCCGUCGAA